This is a long non-coding RNA of Myotis davidii, 668 nucleotides long. RefSeq lists it as uncharacterized. Lineage: Eukaryota; Metazoa; Chordata; Mammalia; Chiroptera; Vespertilionidae. The transcript has 3 exons. The record is from RefSeq and is a predicted model, not a curated record.
GGGGUGACACCAGGCUGCUGAAGCUGGCCGCGCUGAUGGAGUGGAAAGUGAGAAAGCCCUCAGCUCUGCUGGUGGAGGCAAGCCCCGGCCCCUCUGACGAAGCCCGCAUCAUCUUUUGGGAUCUCUGAGCCUUGGAGAACUUCUGGGAAGUUGGUGAGGGUCGGGAGCUUCCUCAUGUGAGGCUAGGAUGGGGCCUGUCCCUCCUUCACGCCCCUUCCAUCUGGCCCUCACGGAGCCUUCCUUCGAGCAUCAGGGCUGGGAGUCCUGAAGCACCUCCCAUCCUCUUUGUAUCCACAGGCUCAGGUCUAGCAGGAGCUGGGCCAAGCCCGAGGUUUCCGCAGGAAAGGCUGAGAGGAUUGCUCCAAUCCAAUUACUAGAAUGUGCUCACAUCGGCUGGCAGCCCCGAGAUGGGGCCGGCCCAUUUCUGCCUGGAUGCCUGCAGGGGAGGGGUUGGCAUGGCAACGUGAGCUCUGAGCUGCUGAAACUUGAAGUCAACUGGUAGCUGGGAGGACAGAAAGAACGACCGAGAGGAGCCUCUGAGUGACGGGCGUCAGACAAAUCCAGGUCCUGCCACGCCCAGGCCCAGCCUCACCCUCCCACCUAGAUACUGCAACAGCCACCAUCUGGUCUCCCUGAGCUGGCCUCCCCCUGCCCUGUGGCCCACCUGG